UACAGAGGGCUCGAGCGUUAAUCGGAAUCACUGGGCUUAAAGGGUGCGCAGGCGGACUCGUCAGUGUCUUGUGAAAUCCCAUGGCUCAACCAUGGAACUGCAGGGCAUACUGCGAGUCUUGAACCCGACAGGGGCAACCGGAACUCUAGGUGGAGCGGUGAAAUGCGUAGAUAUCUAGAGGAACGCCAAAGGCGAAGGCA
Molecule: ribosomal RNA, 200 nt
Filed under: uncultured bacterium
Lineage: Bacteria
Description: partial 16S ribosomal RNA
Rfam family: Bacterial small subunit ribosomal RNA
Source: RNAcentral